Non-coding RNA from Hydrogenovibrio marinus, 97 nucleotides. The record is from Rfam. NCBI's taxonomy places the organism in Bacteria, Pseudomonadati, Pseudomonadota, Gammaproteobacteria, Thiotrichales, Piscirickettsiaceae.
UGUUCGUCCCCUCGCGAUGAUGGGUUGGGAACCCCGCCAGGUCCGGAAGGAAGCAACGGUACCUUCUGAUUCAUGCGCCGAGGAUCGGCGGAUAGGG